UGUAGUGUUAUGAUAUGAGGGGUAGGUUAGUGUUAUGAUAUGAGGGUAGGUUAGUGUUAUGAUAUGAGGGUAGGUUAGUGUUAGACAUGUCUGUAUGUAGUGUUAUGAUAUGAGGGUAGGUUAGUGUUAUGAUAUGAUAUGAGGGUAGGUUAGUGUUAUGAUAUGAGGGUAGGUUAGUGGUAGACAUGUCUGUAUGUAGUGUUAUGAUAUGAGGGUAGGUUAGUGGUAGACAUGUCUGUAUGUAGUGUUACAAUAUGAGGGUAGGUUAGUGUUAGACAUGUCUGUAUGUAGUGUUAUGAUAUGAGGGUAGGUUAGUGUUAUGAUAUGAGGGUAGGUUAGUGUUAUGAUAUGAGGGUAGGUUAGUGUUAGACAUGUCUGUAUGUAGUGUUAUGAUAUGAGGGUAGGUUAGUGUUAGACACGUCUGUAUGUAGUGUUAUGAUAUGAGGGUAGGUUAGUGGUAGACAUGUCUGUAUGUAGUGUUAUGAUAUGAGGGUAGGUUGGUGGUAGACAUGUAUGUAUAUUGUGUUAUGAUAUGAGGGUAGGUUAGUGUUAUGAUAUGAGGGUAGGUUAGUGGUAGACAUGACUGUAUGUAGUGUUAUGAUAUGAGGGUAGGUUAGUGUUAUGAUAUGAGGGUAGGUUAGUGUUAUGAUAUGAGGGUAGGUUAGUGGUAGACAUGUCUGUAUGUAGUGUUAUGAUAUGAGGGUAGGUUAGUGUUAGAAUACGUCUGUAUGUAGUGUUAUGAUAUGAGGGUAGGUUAGUGGUAGACAUGUCUGUAUGUAGUGUUAUGAUAUGAGGGUAGGUUAGUGGUAGACAUGUCUGUAUGUAGUGUUAUGAUAUGAGGGUAGGUUAGUGGUAGACAUGUCUGUAUGUAGUGUUAUGAUAUGAGGGUAGGUUAGUGGUAGGCAUGUCUGUAUGUAGUGUUAUGAUAUGAGGGUAGGUUAGUGGUAGACAUGUCUGUAUGUAGUGUUAUGAUAUGAGGGUAGGUUAGUGGUAGACAUGUUUGUAUGUAGUGUUAUGAUAUGAGGGUAGGUUAGUGUUAUGAUAUGAGGGUAGGUUAGUGUUAAACCAGACUGUAUGUAGUGUUAUGAUAUGAAGGUAGGUUAGUGGUAGACAUGUCUGUAUGUAGUGUUAUGAUAUGAGGGUAGGUUAGUGGUAGACAUGUCUGUAUGUAGUGUUAUGAUAUGAGGGUAGGUUAGUGGUAGACAUGUCUGUAUGUAGUGUUAUGAUAUGAUGGUAGGUUAGUGGUAGACAUUUCUGUAUGUAGUGUUAUGAUAUGAGGGUAGGUUAGUUUUAUGAUAUGAGGGUAGGUUAGUGUUAGACAUGUCUGUAUGUAGUGUUAUGAUAUGAGGGUAGGUUAGUGGUAGACAUGUAUGUAUGUUGUGUUAUGAUAUGAGGGUAGGUUAGUGUUAUGAUAUGAGGGUAGGUUAGUGGUAGACAUGACUGUAUGUAGUGUUAUGAUAUGAGGGUAGGUUAGUGUUAUGAUAUGAGGGUAGGUUAGUGUUAUGAUAUGAGGGUAGGUUAGUGGUAGACAUGUCUGUAUGUAGUGUUAUGAUAUGAGGGUAGGUUAGUGUUAGAAUACGUCUGUAUGUAGUGUUAUGAUAUGAGGGUAGGUUAGUGGUAGACAUGUCUGUAUGUAGUGUUAUGAUAUGAGGGUAGGUUAGUGGUAGACAUGUCUGUAUGUAGUGUUAUGAUAUGAGGGUAGGUUAGUGGUAGACAUGUCUGUAUGUAGUGUUCUGAUAUGAGGGUAGGUUAGUGGUAGGCAUGUCUGUAUGUAGUGUUAUGAUAUGAGGGUAGGUUAGUGUUAUGAUAUGAGGGUAGGUUAGUGUUAAACCAGACUGUAUGUAGUGUUAUGAUAUGAAGGUAGGUUAGUGGUAGACAUGUCUGUAUGUAGUGUUAUGAUAUGAGGGUAGGUUAGUGGUAGACAUGUCUGUAUGUAGUGUUAUGAUAUGAGGGUAGGUUAGUGGUAGACAUGUCUGUAUGUAGUGUUAUGAUAUGAUGGUAGGUUAGUGGUAGACAUGACUGUAUGUAGUGUUAUGAUAUGAAGGUAGGUUAGUGGUAGACAUGUCUGUAUGUAGUGUUAUGAUAUGAGGGUAGGUUAGUGUUAUGAUAUGACGGUAGGUUAGUGUUAUGAUAUGAGGGUAGGUUAGUGUUAGACAUGUCUGUAUGUAGUGUUAUGAUAUGUGGGUAGGUUGGUGGUAGACAUGUAUGUAUGUAGUGUUAUGAUAUGAGGGUAGGUUAGUGGUUACUUUAUCCUAUCCCAGGUAUUCCUUAAAGAGGUGGGGUUUCAGGUGUCUCCGGAAGGUGGUGAUUGACUCCGCUGUCCAGGCGUCGUGAGGGAGCUUGUUCCACCAUUGGGGUGCCAGAGCAGCGAACAGUUUUGACUGGGCUGAGCGGUAACUGUGCUUCCUCAGAGGUAGGGAGGCGAGCAGGCCAGAGGUGGAUGAACGCAGUGCCCUUGUUUGGGUGUAGGGACUGAUCAGAGCCUGAAGGUACGGAGGUGCCGUUCCCCUCACAGCUCCGUAGGCAAGCACCAUGGUCUUGUAGCAGAUGCGAGCUUCAACUGGAAGCCAGUGGAGUGUGCGGAGGAGCGGGGUGACGUGA
This 2601-nucleotide long non-coding RNA is filed under the name Salmo salar (Atlantic salmon). Its description in RNAcentral is "lncRNA (ENSSSAG00000101455.1)". Lineage: Eukaryota; Metazoa; Chordata; Actinopteri; Salmoniformes; Salmonidae. The record is from RNAcentral.